UACGAAUGGGGCAAAUGUUAUCCUAAAUGAUUGGGCAUAAAGAGUGUUUAGAUUGUAAUAAAUGUUUGAUGCAAAAAUCUAAAAUUUUCUUUAGAAAAGCUAAAAAUCCAUUUUUACUUGAGUAAAAUAGAGGUAAGCAGAAUUUUAUUUCCAGGAGUAGAAUCCAAAGUCACAAAGGAAUGCCACUAGCUAAUGCAGCUUUCUAUAAUUUUACUGACAUUGUCAAACGAAGGCUUUGGUAUCAAACAGG
Molecule: ribosomal RNA, 250 nt
Filed under: uncultured bacterium
Lineage: Bacteria
Description: partial 16S ribosomal RNA
Rfam family: Bacterial small subunit ribosomal RNA
Source: RNAcentral